GAUUUGAGGUUUUUCUGUACUUUUAAUGAGCUAGAAAAUGCAUACUAUAAAUAGAAUAUACAAAUGAUUUUACACAAAUGAAGCAUUAAAAAUCACAAAUCUUAUAUUUGGUUAUCCACAGUCUAUAAAAUAAUGUUCCCAAAUUAUAUAGUUUAAAAUACACAAUGUUUCAAGUUGCAAGACAAAACCAGGGUAGUUUUGGCCCUAAAUCAUAGCUAACAUAAGUAGGAAUUAUAAUUAAUUUUAUAAUUGUGUUUAAAUUUUAAAUACUCUAGAAUCUGAAAAUAUUAAAUAUUAAAUAGAUGGAGGGAUCAAAUUAUCAAGUUUUUUAACAAAAUUGAGGUAAAAAUCUGCAUUAAAUUACACCAAGAAAAACAUUUCUAAAACAUUGUUUCCAUAACUCAUUAUAAAUAUUUCAUCUUCCGAAAGUACUCUUUGAUUACCUCUGGCCUUCUGGGUCUGGUAAUUAAGUUGACUUAAUAUUUGCACAUAGCUACUGAUUACUCAAUACAGGCCUAUCAGAUAAAACUAAAAUGCUGCAACUUAAUCAGAAUGAUGCAAUCUUGUCUUAUAUAAAUAUACAAAUCACAGUAUGCUGACACUAGAUAACUUCAGCUUUAUUUGCCAAAGGGGAUUUAGAAUAUACUACAAAAUUGUAUAUAAAAUAACCCUUUACAAGGAUUUACUAGGAUGACUGCAAAGAAAGGCAAAUUAAAUAUACCUGGUCCCAUAUAAGAAUUGUUGCCUAACCUCAUAUACUAAUUUGAAUAUGAAGACUCACUUUUUAUUUCUUAUUUUUUUGAAACAGGGUCUCGCUCUGUCACCCAGGCUGGAGUGCAGUGGUGUGAUCUCAGCUCACUGCAACCUCUGCCUCUUGGGUUCAAGCGAUUCUCCUACCUCAGCCUCACAAGUAGCUGGGACUACAGGCGUGCACCACCAUGCCUGGCUAAUUUUUUGUAUUUUUAGUAGAGAAGGGGUUUCUCCAUGUUGGUCACACUGGUUUUGAACUCCUAAUCUCAGGUGAUCCACCCGCCUCGGACUCCCAAAGUGCUGGGAUUACAGGUGUGAGCCACCGCACCUGGCCUGAAUAUAAAGACUCAUUUUAAAUUAUACUAGUUGAACCUUUAUACUACAAUGUAUCCUGGCACUUAUUUUUUUUAAACCAUUAUCAGAUAUUUCAUGUUCUACUAGUAAAGGGAAUUCGCAUUUUCAAUGUCCUGUCUGCAUUCCUCCUAGCCUCUCUCUGCUCAGGUUUUGGAAAAUAGAUCUUUCAAAUGCAAUUGCAGUAUCCAAGGAAAUUCCUCCCACCCAUGCCACCAGUGCUCAUCCUGUGGGCACCCCACAGUCAGCAGUUUAAGACCAUUCUGGAUGAAUGCAAAUGCUUGAUUCAAUUUUCCCAAAUCCCAAUCAACUAGCUACAGUUUUUAUUGUAUGCAAUCUUCCCAACAUUGCAGUAAAGCAGUCUAGAUGGCUGGGGAAAGGUAAAAGAACCCCGGUUGUGAUUAUUUUUUUCUAACAAAAUGGAAUUAAAAGAUGAGAAAACCUCGUAGUAUUUUAGUCUGGUACUUUUAGCAUCCCCAACUUUUAAGAUUAUAAAUUCACAAUAGUGAACACCCUAGUGACAACUUUUAAAUAAAAUACUGGAUAGCUGGGCGCAGUGGCUCACACCCGUAAUCCCAGCACUUUGGGAGGCCGAGGCGUGUAGAUCACUUGAGGUCAAGAGUUCAAGACCAACCUGGCCAACAUGGUAAAACCUCCUCUCUACUAUAAAUACAAAAAAUUAGCUGGGCGUGGUGGUGCAUGUCUGUAAUCCCAGCUAUUCGGGAGGCUGAGGCAGGAGAAUCACUUGAACCCAGGAGGCAGAGGUUAGAGUGAGCCGAGAUCGUGCCACUGCACUUCAGCCUGGGCAAUGGAGUGAGACUCUGUCUCAAAAAAAAUAAAAAAUAAAAAAUAAAAUACUGCAUAAUUACAUGCUAUAGUAAAUUAAUCAUACACUCAAAAUUUUAGCUUGGAUUUGUUUUGCAACUGAUUUGAUGCUGUCUGAAAAUCAAGAUCAAGCAGGUGAUGAAAACUAUACCUUUUGAACAUGCAUUAGGUAACCAGGGGGCAACAGAGUAGGGACUAAUAAGGCCAGCAACUCAGGGAAAUUAGCCUAUUCAUCUGAUAUAUUUGGCCUCCAUAAAACUGCCAUGGAUUCCAACUGUACUCAAAUAUAAUACAACUUCUUCAAUGCUGCUUUAUAAAUCUGACUGAAAACCUUAUUUAAGGAGUCAAGAUGCUGAACACCCUAACAAAAGCAAAAACAAAAUUACGGCCUAUGUGGUGUUUGGCAUUGUCUCUGGAACUACAAAAUUAAACUUUUAGAAUCACAGCAUUUUACACCUGAGAGGAAUCUUAAAAGAUACUGAAUUUCGCUUCUCACUUUAUAGCUGAGAAGAGUGAGGGAAGGACGGACCAUGGGAGUCAGCAUUUUUCAAGCAUCCAGGCACGCUGGGCCUGGUAUUUCAAUUAGAGUUUCUCAUUCUCACAGUCUCAGGCAGGUUGCAUUAACCUCCACUUCACAGCUAAGUAAAUGCGGAUCUACCAGAUUGAAUAAUCUCCCCCAAAUAAAUUCACUAAUGAGGAACAGAAGGAAUCCAACGUCAGAGUUAGUGCUCUUCUCAGAGUAAUAAUCUGCAAAGUGUGGUCCUGGGACCAGCAGCUGGGGCAUUACCUGGACGCUUGUUAGAAAGGCAAAUUACCAGGCCCACCAUCCCCACCGCCAGACCUACUGAAUCAGAAACUCUAGGGUGGCCCCCAGCAAUCAAGUUUUUGGUUUUGUUUUUUUAACAGACAGGGUCUCACUUUGCUGCCCAGGCUGGACUGCAGUGGCCCAAUAAUAACUCACUGCAGCCUCGAACUCCUGGGUUCAAGUGAUCCUCCUGCCUCAGACUCCCAAGCAGCUCAGACUACAGGUAUGCACUACCAUGCCUGUUUGUUUUUUGUUUUUGUUUUUGUAGAGACAGGGGUCUUGCUGUAUUGCCCAGCCUGAUCUUGAACUCCUGGGCUCACGUGAUCCUCCUGCCUCAGUCUCCCAAAGCACUGGAAUUACAGGCAUGAGCCUGUGUUCUCCCCUCUCUUCCAAUAAUGUGUAUUCAACAAGGCCUUCAGGUGAUGCUGAUGCUGUCUGAAAGCCACUGCUCUCCAGCAUGUGGUCUCUGAAACUUUACUUAGGAGUAUGCAUAUUAAAAUAUAUAUAUAACUUAACACUAUGCUACUACAAAGGGCAAAAUAAUUCACUUUAUUGUACUUUAUUUUAGAAUAAUUAAGACAAGGAUAGGCUUCAAUGAAAUUUUGCUUUGAUGUUACAUGGUCUGACUGACACUGGAUUUCUUCAUAAGAAAAAUAAAUGUGAAAGCUAUUCCAAGUAAGCAAAUGGUGGCAAAAACAAUCUAAAGAAUUGGUUUUAGCCAGGCAUGGUGGCUCAUGCCUGUAAUCCCAGCACUUUGGGAGGCCAGGGCGGGCAGAUUACUUGAGCUCAGGAGUUCAAGAGCAGCCUGGCCAACAUGGUGAAACCCCAUCUCUACUAAAAACACAAAAAUUAGGCAAUAUAGCAAGACCCCAUCUCUACCAAAAAUACAAAAAAACUAAUCAGGAAUGGGGGCACAUGCCAGUAGUCCCAACUACUCAGGAGACUGAGGUGGGAGGAUGGCUUGAGCUUGGGAGGUUGCAGUGAGCCAAGAUCCUGCCACUGCACUCCAGCCUGGGUGACAGAGUGAGACCCCAUCUCAAAAAAAAAAAAAGAAUUUCAUCUCAUGUCAAAAAUAAGACUCUUGGACAGAAAUCUUCUGCCUGCCUUCCAAGGACCCACUGAAAUUAAUGGAUACUCUCACAUGACUGACUUUAUUAUUAAAUACUUGCUGUAAUCACAACUAGGCAUAGGAAAAUCAAGUAGAGAAAUACUGAAUGCCUAGCAUACAACGAUCUAAGUGAAAGUUAAUAAAAGUAGCUCUUCAGAAAGACAUCUCAUGUAAAAUUAAAUUUAAAACUAAAAAUUUCAUGAAGUGACCUGUUAAGAGUUUCAAUUUAGAAGCUUUACUUUUCUAAUUUUAAAAUAUCAUGAAUGAAAUGGUGUCUUCAUCUAGGUGCUUCUCCAUCAAAAUCCCUAGCUCAAAAAUAAAAAUCAUGUUUGUGUCACCCCAGAUUCAAAAUGCUGUUAUUGGAAAUGUUACCAUUUCACAUGAACAUUCCAGUAAAUAUGCACAUAGAGGGUACUCAUUACUUUUGGUUGGUAAUUUUUCCUUAAAUAUAUUUCAAUGAUUUCAUUGUUUGACAUUUUCAUAGUUAACGUAUACUGAAUACAGAAAAUUUUGUAGGAAAACACUAUUUUUUAAAUGUAGUAACAUUAAAAUAUUAAAAUAUCCCGUUUAUUAAAGGCUCUUAAGAUUUAAAGAAAAAUUUCCUGUGCACAUACAAUGUACCUAUGAAAUACUGUAUUAUUAGUUAUUGUACAGGCAAAUGAGGCUGUUACUAUAAAAAAAAUGUGGUGUCUAAAAAUUGCAAGUCUAUGUGAAAAAUCAACCUCAAUUUAUCUAAAUGGGAUUUGGGGGACACGGCAGACUAUUAAAAUAGAACUCAAACUUCAAAUUCUGUAAACUGAACAUCUCAUUAAUGCCACUUCACCAUUUAAAAAAGUCAGCACACAAUGUUAGCUAUGUAAGUUUAUCUGCAGAUGUUACAGGUAAUUAUUUCUGUUAACUCCUCCUAAAAUAUUAUUUAGUAAUAAAGAAUAUUUCAAAAGGAGAGUAGGUAGAAACGAAGAUCAUAACUAUACUUACUUAAUAUGAAAAUGACAUUUCAUUUAUUUGCUAAUAUGUGGAAAAAAAUUUUCUAAUUAAUUCCUCCUUUAUCCUUCUUUAAAAACAUUUUAUUUCUUCAACCAGCACACUGAGGAUUAGUGCUAUGGGUAUUACCACAGUGCCCUGUGAAAAGACUUGGCUUCCAGAGAAGUCAUACCUUGCAUACCCUGGAGUCAUACCUCAAAUUGGCUCUGCAUGAUUGAUUUUACAGCGGGCAUUAAAAUUCUUCUGAAACAAGGCUGUGUACCUUUGAGAACAUUCACAUUUAACCUUGUGAGCUCACUUCUACAAGAACAAUGAACUUAUUUGUCAGCUGCCAGGGGGAAAAUCAGCUUAAUGUAAAGAAUUAAUUAAAUCAGGUUGACAGAAGCCAAUAUCUCAAUGUUUUUAAAUUAAAAUUUAUUUAAAGGAAUAAGUAUGGGUGCAUUACAUAAACCUAAUGGUUCUUCUAAGCUUCAAAAAGCAUUCAUUUCAAAAGUAUUCACUUUUUUUUUUUUUGAGACGGAGUCUCGCUGUCGCCCAGGCUGGAGUGCAGGGGCACGAUCUCGGCUCACUGCAGGCUCCGCCUCCCGGGUUCACGCCAUUCUGCUGCCUCAGCCUCCCGAGCAGCUGGGACUACAGGCGCCGCCACCACGCCCGGCUAAUUCUUUGUAUUUUUAGUAGAGACGGGGUUUCACUGUGUUAACCAGGAUGGUCUCGAUCUCCUGACCUCGUGAUCCGCCCGCCUCGGCCUCCCAAAGUGCUGGGACUACAGGCGUGAGCCACCACGCCCGGCCCAAAAGCAUUUACUGUUAAGGCUGCCUCAUUUUUCAGCUUUGUUGUAGUUGAGAUUCUGAUGUUCACCUAACAAAGUCCCUGACAAAACAGACUUCCUUCAAUCCAGGUCAUAAUUUGAAACGUUAUACAAUAAUGAGAUUUAAGUGAUGAAUGGAAAGAAAAGAAGGAGACUGAAAAGAUAUCAGAAAUUUCUAUUUGUUUUUAGAUUCAGAAAAAUAUAAUUACAGGCCAACAUGGGUCUGACAGAGAGGAAGGACGUCAGCAGUUAC
Molecule: long non-coding RNA, 5884 nt
Filed under: Homo sapiens (human)
Lineage: Eukaryota; Metazoa; Chordata; Mammalia; Primates; Hominidae
Description: HSALNT0038229
Source: RNAcentral